This 269-nucleotide ribosomal RNA is filed under the name uncultured bacterium. RNAcentral describes it as "partial 16S ribosomal RNA". It matches the Rfam family "Bacterial small subunit ribosomal RNA", at positions 85 to 353 of the family's 1533-position model. The record is from RNAcentral.
UUGGUGGCGACCGGCGGACGGGUGCGUAACGCGUAUGCAACCUACCUGACACAGGGGGAUAAUCCGAAGAAAUUUGGUCUAAUACCCCAUAAUACCGAUAUAGGCAUCUAUGUUGGUUGAAAGCUUUGGUGGUGUCAGAUGGGCAUGCGUUGUAUUAGCUAGUUGGUGGGGUAACGGCUCACCAAGGCGACGAUACAUAGGGGGACUGAGAGGUUAACCCCCCACACUGGUACUGAGACACGGACCAGACUCCUACGGGAGGCAGCAUG